This 69-nucleotide transfer RNA is filed under the name Marmota monax (woodchuck). RNAcentral's name for it is "tRNA.Thr". The record is from RNAcentral. Lineage: Eukaryota; Metazoa; Chordata; Mammalia; Rodentia; Sciuridae.
GGGGCUGGGGCUCAGCGGUAGAGCACUCGCCUGGUAUGUGGGAGGUCCUGGGUUCGCUCCUGAGCACCA